Molecule: ribosomal RNA, 374 nt
Filed under: Salmonella enterica subsp. enterica serovar Kentucky
Lineage: Bacteria; Pseudomonadati; Pseudomonadota; Gammaproteobacteria; Enterobacterales; Enterobacteriaceae
Description: bacterial SSU rRNA
Rfam family: Bacterial small subunit ribosomal RNA
Source: RNAcentral
AAAUCCCCGGGCUCAACCUGGGAACUGCAUUCGAAACUGGCAGGCUUGAGUCUUGUAGAGGGGGGUAGAAUUCCAGGUGUAGCGGUGAAAUGCGUAGAGAUCUGGAGGAAUACCGGUGGCGAAGGCGGCCCCCUGGACAAAGACUGACGCUCAGGUGCGAAAGCGUGGGGAGCAAACAGGAUUAGAUACCCUGGUAGUCCACGCCGUAAACGAUGUCUACUUGGAGGUUGUGCCCUUGAGGCGUGGCUUCCGGAGCUAACGCGUUAAGUAGACCGCCUGGGGAGUACGGCCGCAAGGUUAAAACUCAAAUGAAUUGACGGGGGCCCGCACAAGCGGUGGAGCAUGUGGUUUAAUUCGAUGCAACGCGAAGAACC